CCUACGGGUGGCAGCAGUCGAGAAUCAUUGACAAUGGGCGAAACCCUGACCGUGCGACGCCGCGUGGGGGAAUGAAGGUCUUCGGAUUGUAAACCCCUGUCAUGUGGGAGCAAAUUAAAAAGAUAGUACCACAAGAGGAAGAGACGGCUAACGCGGUGCCAGCAGCCGCGGUACUACAGAGGUGGCAAGCGUUGUGAGGAAUCACUGGGCGUAAAGGGCGUGUAGGCUGUUUCGUAAGUCGUGUGUGAAAGUCGCGGGCUCAACCCGCGGGCGGCAUAUGAUACUGUGUGACUAGAGUAAUGGAGAGGCAACCGGAAUUCUCGGUGUAGCAGUGAAAUGCGUAGAUAUCGGGAGGAACACUAGUGGCGAAGGCGGGUUGCUGGACAGCAACUGACGCUGAGGCACGAAGGCGAGGGGAGCGAAAAGGAUUAGAUACCCCAGUAGUC
RNAcentral lists this ribosomal RNA (446 nucleotides) under uncultured bacterium. RNAcentral describes it as "partial 16S ribosomal RNA". It matches the Rfam family "Bacterial small subunit ribosomal RNA", at positions 338 to 795 of the family's 1533-position model. The record is from RNAcentral.